This 253-nucleotide ribosomal RNA is filed under the name uncultured bacterium. RNAcentral describes it as "partial 16S ribosomal RNA". It matches the Rfam family "Bacterial small subunit ribosomal RNA", at positions 524 to 776 of the family's 1533-position model. The record is from RNAcentral.
UACGUAGGGUGCAAGCGUUAAUCGGACUUACUGGGCGUAACGCGUGCGCAGGCGGUGAUGUAAGACAGAUGUGAAAUCCCCGGGCUCAACCUGGGAACUGCAUUUGUGACUGCAUCGCUGGAGUACGGCAGAGGGGGAUGGAAUUCCGCGUGUAGCAGUGAAAUGCGUAGAUAUGCGGAGGAACACCGAUGGCGAAGGCAAUCCCCUGGGCCUGUACUGACGCUCAUGCACGAAAGCGUGGGGAGCAAACAGG